GGGGAUUUAGCUCAGUGGCAUAAGCACCUGUCUUACAAGCAGGCGGUUGUGAGUUCGAUCCCCG
This is a transfer RNA of Cavia porcellus (domestic guinea pig), 64 nucleotides long. It matches the Rfam family "tRNA". Rfam says of the family: Transfer RNA (tRNA) molecules are approximately 80 nucleotides in length. Their secondary structure includes four short double-helical elements and three loops (D, anti-codon, and T loops). The record is from Rfam. NCBI's taxonomy places the organism in Eukaryota, Metazoa, Chordata, Mammalia, Rodentia, Caviidae.